GAUAAACGCUGACAGAAUGCUUAACACAUGCAAGUCGAUGAUGGGAGCUAGCUUGCUAGAAGAAGUCAUGGCGGACGGGUGAGUAACGUGUAAAGAACUUACCAUAUAGACUGGGAUAACAGAGGGAAACUUCUGAUAAUACUGGAUAAGUUGGUAGUAGCAUUACUAAGUAAUGAAAGGUAGCAAUACGCUAUAUGAGAGCUUUGCAUCCUAUUAGCUAGUUGGUGGGGUAAAAGCCUACCAAGGCGAUGAUAGGUAGCCGGCCUGAGAGGGUGGACAGCCACAAGGGGACUGAGAUACGGCCCUUACUCCUACGGGAGGCAGCAGUGGGGAAUAUUGGACAAUGGAGGCAACUCUGAUCCAGCAAUUCUGUGUGUGUGAAGAAGGUUUUAGGACUGUAAAACACUUUUAGUAGGGAAGAAAGAAAUGACGGUACCUACAGAAGAAGCGACGGCUAAAUACGUG
RNAcentral lists this ribosomal RNA (465 nucleotides) under uncultured bacterium. RNAcentral describes it as "partial 16S ribosomal RNA". It matches the Rfam family "Bacterial small subunit ribosomal RNA", at positions 28 to 507 of the family's 1533-position model. The record is from RNAcentral.